UGAGGAAUAUUGGUCAAUGGGGGCAACCCUGAACCAGCCAAGUCGCGUGAAGGAUGAAGGUCUUAUGGAUUGUAAACUUCUUUUACACGGGAAUAAAGUGGGGGACGUGUCCCCCUUUGCAUGUACCGUGUGAAUAAGGAUCGGCUAACUCCGUGCCAGCAGCCGCGGUAAUACGGAGGAUCCGAGCGUUAUCCGGAUUUAUUGGGUUUAAAGGGUGCGCAGGCGGGAUGUUAAGUCGGCGGUGAAAUUUUGCAGCUCAACUGUAAAAGUGCCUUCGAUACUGGCCUCCUUGAGUGUGGAUGAAGUAGGCGGAAUUUGUUGUGUAGCGGUGAGAUGCUUAGAUAUCACGAGGAACUCCGAUUGCGCAGGCAGCUUACUAAGCCACAACUGACGCUCAUGCACGAAGGCGUGGGGAUCAAACA
Molecule: ribosomal RNA, 422 nt
Filed under: uncultured bacterium
Lineage: Bacteria
Description: bacterial SSU rRNA
Rfam family: Bacterial small subunit ribosomal RNA
Source: RNAcentral